UAAGACACUAUUCUGUUUUAUGGUCUCUGUUCAUAUGGAAUACAACGAAACUGCUACUGAAUUACCGUAAAUGUUGCUGUACUGACCGCAUCGAUACAUAACCCGUAAUUAUAGGAAAACACUCGCUUCAUCUAAUCAAUUCUAUGGAAGAUAUUCAGUUCCGUGUGUACAUAUCAAGUAAUCGUGAAGGAUUCGACUCAACACACUUAUUGGAGGAUAUUCAGUGCGAUUUAAUGAAAAUCCUAUACAUGUACAAUUCAAAGACAUCAUUCUUGUAAUAAAGUUAUCAUGUUUGACAUUUUUGAAUAUACUGUACUGUCAGUUUUGGUAUUUUUUUUCAGAUGUGUUUACAAUUAAUUCAUGUGAAAUGAAGAUUAUAUUUGAAUAUUUAAAGAUGAAUUUAACAUUUUGAAGCUUUGGGGUCCAAAGCUGGUAGGUUUGUGGGGAG
Molecule: long non-coding RNA, 448 nt
Filed under: Mytilus galloprovincialis (Mediterranean mussel)
Lineage: Eukaryota; Metazoa; Mollusca; Bivalvia; Mytilida; Mytilidae
Source: RNAcentral